GCCCAAGUAGUAUAGUGGUACGUUUUAUUGCAAAUAAAAAAGUCCGUAUGGGUU
Molecule: transfer RNA, 54 nt
Filed under: Schizopera knabeni
Lineage: Eukaryota; Metazoa; Arthropoda; Copepoda; Harpacticoida; Miraciidae
Description: tRNA-Cys
Source: RNAcentral